RNAcentral lists this non-coding RNA (175 nucleotides) under uncultured Ruminococcus sp. RNAcentral's name for it is "Lysine riboswitch". It matches the Rfam family "Lysine riboswitch aptamer". Rfam says of the family: Riboswitches are metabolite binding domains within certain messenger RNAs that serve as precision sensors for their corresponding targets. Allosteric rearrangement of mRNA structure is mediated by ligand binding, and this results in modulation of gene expression. The record is from RNAcentral. Lineage: Bacteria; Bacillati; Bacillota; Clostridia; Eubacteriales; Oscillospiraceae. RNAcentral also lists the same sequence under 1 other name.
CAGAUAGAGGUGCGGUAACGAUCAGUAGCCCGUCGGCGCUUGUGCGCGUUUCCCGAACGCGCAGCCCUCGGUCGAAAGGCAAUACCGCCGAAGCCCGACGCUCGGGACGUCGCCGCUGACCGCCUGCCGAACAGGUAUGCGGUUGUCAUCAUGCUUUGUGAUGGAGUGCUAUCGG